RNAcentral lists this unclassified non-coding RNA (263 nucleotides) under plant metagenome. RNAcentral's name for it is "partial contains small subunit ribosomal RNA, internal transcribed spacer 1, and 5.8S ribosomal RNA". The record is from RNAcentral.
UUUCCGUAGGUGAACCUGCGGAAGGAUCAUUAUCGUAUAACCGAGGUGCGAGGGCUGUCGCUGACCCGAAAGGUCGUGCACGCCCGAGUGCCCUCACACACAUCCAUCUCACCCCUAUGUGCACCACCGCGUGGAUCCCCCUUUGGCUUGUUCGGAGGGGGGCUUACGUUUUCACACAAACUUUGUAUGCAGUGUAGAAUGUAUUUUUUGUUUUUGCGAUCACGCAAUCAAUACAACUUUCAACAACGGAUCUCUUGGCUCUC